RNAcentral lists this ribosomal RNA (282 nucleotides) under uncultured Dialister sp. RNAcentral's name for it is "partial 16S ribosomal RNA". It matches the Rfam family "Bacterial small subunit ribosomal RNA", at positions 68 to 339 of the family's 1533-position model. The record is from RNAcentral. Lineage: Bacteria; Bacillati; Bacillota; Negativicutes; Veillonellales; Veillonellaceae.
UUGGAAAUGGUAAACCACUUAGUGGCAGACGGGUGAGUAAUACGUAGGUAACCUGCCCUAGAGACUGGGACAACAGUUAGAAAUGACUGCUAAUACCGAAUAAGUUCCAAGGGUUGCAUGGCCCAUGGAAGAAAAGGUGGCCUCUACCUGUAAGCUAUCGCCUGAAGAGGGGUUUGCGUCUGAUUAGCUGGUUGGAGGGGUAACGGCCCACCAAGGCGACGAUCAGUAGCCGGUCUGAGAGGAUGAACGGCCACACUGGAACUGAGACACGGUCCAGACUCC